Molecule: ribosomal RNA, 549 nt
Filed under: uncultured Glomus
Lineage: Eukaryota; Fungi; Glomeromycota; Glomeromycetes; Glomerales; Glomeraceae
Description: SSU rRNA
Rfam family: Eukaryotic small subunit ribosomal RNA
Source: RNAcentral
UUGGAGGGCAAGUCUGGUGCCAGCAGCCGCGGUAAUUCCAGCUCCAAUAGCGUAUAUUAAAGUUGUUGCAGUUAAAAAGCUCGUAGUUGAAUUUCGGGAUCAAUAUAUCGGUCGUGCCAUUGGUACGUACUGGUAUCAUUGGUUUCUCCUUUCUGACGAACCAUGAUGUCAUUAAUUUGGUGUUAUGGGAAGUUAGGACUGUUACUUUGAAAAAAUUAGAGUGUUUAAAGCAGGCUUUAGCUUGAAUACAUUAGCAUGGAAUAAUGAAAUAGGACGUUCGAACCUAUUUUGUUGGUUUCUAGGAUCAACGUAAUGAUUAAUAGGGAUAGUUGGGGGCAUUAGUAUUCAAUUGUCAGAGGUGAAAUUCUUGGAUUUAUUGAAGACUAACUACUGCGAAAGCAUUUGCCAAGGAUGUUUUCAUUAAUCAAGAACGAAAGUUAGGGGAUCGAAGACGAUCAGAUACCGUCGUAGUCUUAACCAUAAACUAUGCCGACUAGGGAUCGGAUGAUGUUAAUUUUUUAAUGACUCAUUCGGCGCCUUACGGGAAAC